GACGAACGCUGGCGGCGUGCCUAAUACAUGCAAGUAGAACGCUGAAGGAGGAGCUUGCUUCUCUGGAUGAGUUGCGAACGGGUGAGUAACGCGUAGGUAACCUGCCUGGUAGCGGGGGAUAACUAUUGGAAACGAUAGCUAAUACCGCAUAAUAGUAGAUGUUGCAUGACAUUUGCUUAAAAGGUGCAAUUGCAUCACUACCAGAUGGACCUGCGUUGUAUUAGCUAGUUGGUGAGGUAACGGCUCACCAAGGCAACGAUACAUAGCCGACCUGAGAGGGGGAUCGGCCACCAUGGGACCGGGACACGGCCCAGAAUCCUACGGGAGGCAGCCGUAGGGAAUCUUCGGCAAUGGACGGAAGUCUGACCGAGCAACGCCGCGUGAGUGAAGAAGGUUUUCGGAACGUAAAGCUCUGUUGUAAGAGAAGAAAGAGUGUGGGAGUGGAAAGUUCACACUGUGACGGUAUCUUACCAGAAAGCGACGGCUAACUACGUG
This 495-nucleotide ribosomal RNA is filed under the name uncultured bacterium. Its description in RNAcentral is "partial 16S ribosomal RNA". It matches the Rfam family "Bacterial small subunit ribosomal RNA", at positions 28 to 507 of the family's 1533-position model. The record is from RNAcentral.